AGGAUCAUUCGCAAUGGGGGAAACCCUGACGAUGCGACGCUGCGUGGAGGAUGAAGGCCCUCGGGUCGUAAACUCCUGUCAUGGGGGAAAAGGCGAGGGGACCCAACACGUCCCUUAGUUGAUGGUACCCCAAGAGGAACGGGCGGCUAACUCUGUGCCAGCAGCCGCGGUAAUACAGAGGCCCGUAGCGUUGUUCGGAUUUACUGGGCGUAAAGGGCGCGUAGGCGGCCAGGCGUGUCGGAUGUGAAAUCUCCGGGCUCAACCCGGAAAGUGCGUCCGAAACUGCCCGGCUCGAGUGCGGGAUGGGGAAGGGGAAUGCAGGGUGUAGCGGUGAAAUGCGUUGAUAUCCUGCAGAACACCGGAGGCGAAGGCGCCUUCCUGGAACGCAACUGACGCUGAGGCGCGAAAGUCGGGGGAGCAAACA
RNAcentral lists this ribosomal RNA (424 nucleotides) under uncultured bacterium. RNAcentral describes it as "bacterial SSU rRNA". It matches the Rfam family "Bacterial small subunit ribosomal RNA", at positions 358 to 774 of the family's 1533-position model. The record is from RNAcentral.